RNAcentral lists this ribosomal RNA (708 nucleotides) under Arthrobacter sp. RNAcentral describes it as "bacterial SSU rRNA". It matches the Rfam family "Bacterial small subunit ribosomal RNA", at positions 69 to 780 of the family's 1533-position model. Lineage: Bacteria; Bacillati; Actinomycetota; Actinomycetes; Micrococcales; Micrococcaceae. The record is from RNAcentral.
AUGAACCUCGCUUGCGGGGGGAUUAGUGGCGAACGGGUGAGUAACACGUGAGUAACCUGCCCUUAACUCUGGGAUAAGCCUGGGAAACUGGGUCUAAUACUGGAUAUUGACUUUUCACCGCAUGGUGGGGGGUUGAAAGCUUUUGUGGUUUUGGAUGGACUCGCGGCCUAUCAGCUUGUUGGUGAGGUAAUGGCUCACCAAGGCGACGACGGGUAGCCGGCCUGAGAGGGUGACCGGCCACACUGGGACUGAGACACGGCCCAGACUCCUACGGGAGGCAGCAGUGGGGAAUAUUGCACAAUGGGCGAAAGCCUGAUGCAGCGACGCCGCGUGAGGGAUGACGGCCUUCGGGUUGUAAACCUCUUUCAGUAGGGAACAAGGCUACACGUUGUGUGGUUGAGGGUACCUGCAGAAGAAGCGCCGGCUAACUACGUGCCAGCAGCCGCGGUAAUACGUAGGGCGCAAGCGUUAUCCGGAAUUAUUGGGCGUAAAGAGCUCGUAGGCGGUUUGUCGCGUCUGCCGUGAAAGUCCGGGGCUCAACUCCGGAUCUGCGGUGGGUACGGGCAGACUAGAGUGAUGUAGGGGAGACUGGAAUUCCUGGUGUAGCGGUGAAAUGCGCAGAUAUCAGGAGGAACACCGAUGGCGAAGGCAGGUCUCUGGGCAUUAACUGACGCUGAGGAGCGAAAGCAUGGGGAGCGAACAGGAUUA